This 253-nucleotide ribosomal RNA is filed under the name uncultured bacterium. RNAcentral describes it as "partial 16S ribosomal RNA". It matches the Rfam family "Bacterial small subunit ribosomal RNA", at positions 524 to 776 of the family's 1533-position model. The record is from RNAcentral.
UACGUAGGGGGCAAGCGUUGUCCGGAUUUAUUGGGCGUAAAGAGCGUGUAGGCGGUUAUGCAGGUCCGCUGUGAAAACUGGAGGCUUAACCUCCAGACGUCGGUGGAAACCGUAUGACUAGAGUCCGGAAGAGGAGAGUGGAAUUCCUGGUGUAGCGGUGAAGUGCGCAGAUAUCAGGAAGAACACCCGUGGCGAAGGCGGCGCUCUGGACCGAGACUGACGCUGAGGCGCGAAAGCGUGGGGAGCAAACAGG